This 1508-nucleotide long non-coding RNA is filed under the name Monodelphis domestica (gray short-tailed opossum). Its description in RNAcentral is "lncRNA (ENSMODG00000051407.1)". Lineage: Eukaryota; Metazoa; Chordata; Mammalia; Didelphimorphia; Didelphidae. The record is from RNAcentral.
GACAACUAAGUGGCACAGUGGAUAUAGCAUUGACUCUGGUGUCAGGAAGACCUAAGAUCAAAUCUAGCCUUAGACACUUUCUUCAUGAUCCUGGGUAAGUCACUUAAUUCCUGUUUGCCUUGGUUUUCUCAUCUGUAAAAUGGGAGUAAUAAUAGCAUAUCUCUUCUAGGGCUAUUCUGAGUAUGAAAUGAAGUAAGGAUGGUAAAGUGCUUAGCACAGCUACUGGCACAUCAUAAGAACCAUAUAGAAGCCAACUAUUAUUGUCAUCCUUGGGAGCCUCUGAAGCUUUUUAAGCAUUGUUAGACUUUGUUUUAGGAAAAUUGUUUUGGCAAUGGUUUGAAGGAUGGUUUGGAGAAGAGACAGAUUAGGGAGGUAAUUGUUAUAGUCCAAUCAAGAGCUGAAUUGGGGUGGUGUUUCUUGGGUGCUUGAUAAAUGUGAGAGAUUGUGGAGUAAGAAUUGAUAAGACUAGGCAACUGCUUGGAUGUGGAGAUGGUAGUGGGAGGAGAGGAAGCCAAGGAUGAUUCCAAGGUUGUAAACCUAGACAAGUUGGAAGGAUGGUGGUGCUUUCCAAAGAAAUAGAGCAGGAAGUGAGUUAUAUGGGGAAUACAUGUUUCAUUUUAGAAAAACAAUCUGAACCGCUUAUGGGACAUCUAGGUGGAGAUGCGCCAGGAAUUAUCAGAACUGGAGAUCAGUUGCUAGAGAUUGUGGGAGCUGGGUGUGAGUGAUGACCUCAUUCCUCUUGCAAGAGGUGAAGAAGCUGGCACUGUGGGUCAGACUGUCCCUCCCGUGAUCUUGGGUAUGUUCCUUCUUCACUUUUAGAGAGGGGAAAAAAAAGAUAAGCUUCAAAGAUAAGGCAUGCUCUAGGAGCAUACAGGUUCUCAGCCUGCUAUUCCCUUCUACUAAGAAGCCAGGAAAGAAGAGAAUACUAGGGCAGCCCAGCUGCUGAGGGAGAUGAGUUCUCUGGGCUUUCAUCAUUUCUACUCUACUGACCAAGUGGGUCAGUCAACCUUAGUCUCUCCUUCCAGAAGGAAUGGAAUUUUAAACACAAAUGCCCUCAAACCUCUUUAAUGAGGGAAAUGGUCAAUUCUCAGUUCUAGGAAAUUAGCCAAUGUAACAGCUGCUUAGAUUAAACUAUAUUCCUCUUCCCUCUUUUCCCCCUCUCUCCCUAUCACCAGGCACUGAGUUAUUCACAAAAAAAAUCUGUUGCUUAGUCUGUAAUGGGCUGCUGCUUCCAAAGCAUCUGAGAAAGGUACUUUUUAAAAAAUUGCUUUUUAUUGAUGUUUUCCGUUUCUUACAUCAUCAUAGCAUCCCAUGUAUCCUUCUCCCUCACCUUCUCCAAGAUCAUACCUUAUGAUAAAUAGUGGUUUGGGGGGAGUGGUCAGAGAGGGGGAAAAAACAGCACAUUGAGAAAGUCCCAAACCAUGUAAAAUGCAUAAUACCUGUCAACCUCCCAUCUUCAUAAAGGGAUACAUUGGGGAGGUCUUCUCAUAUCUCUUCUUUUUCAUCCC